This 518-nucleotide ribosomal RNA is filed under the name Cytobacillus firmus. Its description in RNAcentral is "bacterial SSU rRNA". It matches the Rfam family "Bacterial small subunit ribosomal RNA", at positions 28 to 529 of the family's 1533-position model. The record is from RNAcentral. Lineage: Bacteria; Bacillati; Bacillota; Bacilli; Caryophanales; Bacillaceae.
CAGCCGACAGCUGGCGGCGUGCCUAAUACAUGCAGUCGAGCGGACGGAUGGGAGCUUGUCUCCCUGAAGUCAGCGGCGGACGGGUGAGUAACACGUGGGCAACCUGCCUGUAAGACUGGGAUAACUCCGGGAAACCGGGGCUAAUACCGGAUAACUCUUUUCCUCACAUGAGGAAAAGCUGAAAGAUGGUUUCGGCUAUCACUUACAGAUGGGCCCGCGGCGCAUUAGCUAGUUGGUGAGGUAACGGCUCACCAAGGCCACGAUGCGUAGCCGACCUGAGAGGGUGAUCGGCCACACUGGGACUGAGACACGGCCCAGACUCCUACGGGAGGCAGCAGUAGGGAAUCUUCCGCAAUGGACGAAAGUCUGACGGAGCAACGCCGCGUGAGUGAUGAAGGUUUUCGGAUCGUAAAACUCUGUUGUCAGGGAAGAACAAGUACCGGAGUAACUGCCGGUACCUUGACGGUACCUGACCAGAAAGCCACGGCUAACUACGUGCCAGCAGCCGGUUAAAUAUA